GACGAACGCUGGCGGCGUGCUUAACACAUGCAAGUCGAACGAAGAGCGAUGGAAGCUUGCUUCUAUCAAUCUUAGUGGCGAACGGGUGAGUAACGCGUAAUCAACCUGCCCUUCAGAGGGGGACAACAGUUGGAAACGACUGCUAAUACCGCAUACGAUCUAAUCUCGGCAUCGAGGAUAGAUGAAAGGUGGCCUCUACAUGUAAGCUAUCACUGAAGGAGGGGAUUGCGUCUGAUUAGCUAGUUGGAGGGGUAACGGCCCACCAAGGCGAUGAUCAGUAGCCGGUCUGAGAGGAUGAACGGCCACAUUGGGACUGAGACACGGCCCAGACUCCUACGGGAGGCAGCAGUGGGGAAUCUUCCGCAAUGGACGGAAGUCUGACGGAGCAACGCCGCGUGAGUGAUGACGGCCUUCGGGUUGUAAAGCUCUGUUAAUCGGGACGAAAGGCCUUCUUGCGAACAGUUAGAAGGAUUGACGGUACCGGAAUAGAAAGCCACGGCUAACUACGUG
This 510-nucleotide ribosomal RNA is filed under the name uncultured bacterium. RNAcentral describes it as "partial 16S ribosomal RNA". It matches the Rfam family "Bacterial small subunit ribosomal RNA", at positions 28 to 507 of the family's 1533-position model. The record is from RNAcentral.